ACCAGACUCCUACGGGAGGCAGCAGUGAGGAAUAUUGGUCAAUGGGAGGAAUCCUGAACCAGCCAUGCCGCGUGCAGGACGACGGCUCUACGAGUUGUAAACUGCUUUUGUACCGGGGUAAAAUGCCUUACGAGUAGGGUUUUGAAAGUACGGUACGGAUAAGGAUCGGCUAACUCCGUGCCAGCAGCCGCGGUAAUACGGAGGAUCCGAGCGUUAUCCGGAUUCAUUGGGUUUAAAGGGUGCGUAGGUUGUUUUAUAAGUUAGCGGUGAAAUACCGAUGCUCAACAUCGGGGCUGCCGCUAAUACUGUAGGACUAGAGAUCGGAUGCAGCAGGCGGAAUGUGUAGUGUAGCGGUGAAAUGCAUAGAUAUCACGCAGAACCCCGAUUGCGAAGGCAGCCUUCCGGCGCCCUACUGACGCUGAGGCACGAAAGUGCGGGGAUCGAACAGGAUUAGAUACCCCAGUAGAG
This 468-nucleotide ribosomal RNA is filed under the name uncultured bacterium. RNAcentral's name for it is "bacterial SSU rRNA". It matches the Rfam family "Bacterial small subunit ribosomal RNA", at positions 330 to 795 of the family's 1533-position model. The record is from RNAcentral.